UUGUACCACUCGGCCACUCCGGUUCUGAGCGCACCGCCCACACCUACCUAACGACUACUCGCUACGUGUUGUUGGCC
RNAcentral lists this small RNA (77 nucleotides) under Xanthomonas axonopodis pv. begoniae. RNAcentral's name for it is "sX9 sRNA". It matches the Rfam family "Xanthomonas sRNA sX9". Lineage: Bacteria; Pseudomonadati; Pseudomonadota; Gammaproteobacteria; Lysobacterales; Lysobacteraceae. The record is from RNAcentral.